RNAcentral lists this ribosomal RNA (497 nucleotides) under uncultured bacterium. RNAcentral describes it as "partial 16S ribosomal RNA". It matches the Rfam family "Bacterial small subunit ribosomal RNA", at positions 28 to 507 of the family's 1533-position model. The record is from RNAcentral.
GAUGAACGCUGGCGGCGUGCCUAAUACAUGCAAGUCGAGCGAACGGACGAGAAGCUUGCUUCUCUGAUGUUAGCGGCGGACGGGUAAGUAACACGUGGAUAACCUACCUAUAAGACUGGGAUAACUUCGGGAAACCGGAGCUAAUACCGGAUAAUAUUUUGAACCGCAUGGUUCAAAAGUGAAAGACGGUCUUGCUGUCACUUAUAGAUGGAUCCGCGCUGCAUUAGCUAGUUGGUAAGGUAACGGCUUACCAAGGCAACGAUGCAUAGCCGACCUGAGAGGGUGAUCGGCCACACUGGAACUGAGACACGGUCCAGACUCCUACGGGAGGCAGCAGUAGGGAAUCUUCCGCAAUGGGCGAAAGCCUGACGGAGCAACGCCGCGUGAGUGAUGAAGGUCUUCGGAUCGUAAAACUCUGUUAUUAGGGAAGAACACAUGUGUAAGUAACUGUGCACAUCUUGACGGUACCUAACCAGAAAGCCACGGCUAACUACGUG